Molecule: long non-coding RNA, 448 nt
Filed under: Mus spicilegus (steppe mouse)
Lineage: Eukaryota; Metazoa; Chordata; Mammalia; Rodentia; Muridae
Description: lncRNA (ENSMSIG00000003689.1)
Source: RNAcentral
AAACUGUCACUGCCAGAUCAAUGAAAACUAGAGACCACGACAGAGAGAAGUGACAUCACUUGUUUGUUUGUCAUGUGUUUUGUUCUGUUUUCUCAAUAUUGUUGUUUGUUUUUGCUUUUUUAGAUUUAGUAUUGUCAUGAUGAGAACUUUGUCCUCUCCUUGAAGCAGCUUGGUAACACUAACUAAAAUUAUCACUGUUGUGUCUAGGUUUGUCUUUGCUUUCUUUCUUUUUGUUUUCCCUUCCUGAGUAGGCUUCCCGUAUGCUACUUAUUAAGUCAAGCUGGCAGUGGGCCUUCAGAUUCCUUCCUGACUGGCCAGUGCUAUGCUCACAGACUUGGAUGGAAUGGAACAGCACUUCAGACUAGAAAGUCAGGAGAGAAGAGGUGCAAGAAGAGCUGAACUGUUGAUGAUGAUUGACAAAGACCCUCCGUGUGUGCACAGGAGACAA